GGUUUGGGGUUUAGGGUUUAGAGUUUGAGGUUUAGGGUUUGGGAUUUGGGGUUUAGGAUUUGGGGUUCAGAGUUUGGGGGUCAGGAUUCAGGAUUUAGGGUUAGGGGUUUUGGGUUAGGAGUUUUAGGGUUGGGGGUUUUGGGUUAGGAGUUUUAGAAUUUUGGGUUUAGGAUUUUAGGGUUUGGGGUUUAGGAUUUUGGUUUUAAUGUUUAGGAUUUUAGUGUUUUGGAUUUAGGGUUUAGGGUUUAGGAUUUAGUGUUUUGGAUUUAGGAUUUAGGGUUUUGGGUUUAGGAUUUUAGGUUUAGGGUUAGGGGUUUUGGU
Molecule: long non-coding RNA, 321 nt
Filed under: Elaeis guineensis (African oil palm)
Lineage: Eukaryota; Viridiplantae; Streptophyta; Magnoliopsida; Arecales; Arecaceae
Description: long non-coding RNA (EGUI_LNC063819)
Source: RNAcentral